GAGAUUUACAAAAAUAGUCGGAUUUCAGUUUAUGGCAAGUACAAUGUAAAAUUCAAGAGCCUUCAACUAACGGACAACAUCUUUCAUAUUGAGUGGCCAAUUUUAGACA
This is a long non-coding RNA of Acromyrmex echinatior (Panamanian leafcutter ant), 109 nucleotides long. The record is from RefSeq and is a predicted model, not a curated record. NCBI's taxonomy places the organism in Eukaryota, Metazoa, Arthropoda, Insecta, Hymenoptera, Formicidae.